AGAGCUAAAGAGACACGGAACAAAAGGCCUACAGCACGACUCUGUAAAGAUGAAGAGCAGAAGACAUUGAUAAAAACAGCAAUGGGAGGAGGACUGUCUGUAACCAAGUCUGUACCAUCUGCAGCCAAUGAGACAGUGAUACCUGAACUCACACUUGUGUUAAUUGGUGACGCAAAUUCUGUUGAGAUUGGAUCAAAAAACAUCUUAAUUGACCAUGACAAG
Long non-coding RNA from Sebastes umbrosus (honeycomb rockfish), 222 nucleotides. RefSeq lists it as uncharacterized. The record is from RefSeq and is a predicted model, not a curated record. The transcript is spliced from 3 exons. Lineage: Eukaryota; Metazoa; Chordata; Actinopteri; Perciformes; Sebastidae.